CGACUGUACCGCAAACCGACACUGGUGCGCGAGAUGAGUAUUCUAAGGCGCUUGAGAGAACUCAGGAGAAGGAACUCGGCAAAUUGACACCGUAACUUCGGAAGAAGGUGUGCCUUUAGUAGGUGAACCUGUACAAGGGGAGCCCAAUGAGGUUGCAAAAAAUCGGUGGCUGCGACUGUUUAAUAAAAACACAGCACUCUGCAAACACGAAAGUGGACGUAUAGGGUGUGACGCCUGCCCGGUGCUGGAAGAUUAAAUGAUGGGGUGCAAGCUCUUGAUUGAAGUCCCAGUAAACGGCGGCCGUAACUAUAACGGUCCUAAGGUAGCGAAAUUCCUUGUCGGGUAAGUUCCGACCUGCACGAAUGGCGUAACGAUGGCCACACUGUCUCCUCCUGAGACUCAGCGAAGUUGAAAUGUUUGUGAUGAUGCAAUCUCCCCGCGGAAAGACGGAAAGACCCCAUGAACCUUUACUGUAGCUUUGUAUUGGACUUUGAACAGAUCUGUGUAGGAUAGGUGGGAGGCUUUGAAGUGUGGUCGCUAGAUCGCAUGGAGCCAACGUUGAAAUACCACCCUGGUGUGUUUGAGGUUCUAACCUAGGCCCGUAAUCCGGGUCGGGGACAGUGCAUGGUAGGCAGUUUGACUGGGGCGGUCUCCUCCCAAAGCGUAACGGAGGAGUUCGAAGGUACGCUAGGUACGGUCGGACAUCGUGCUAAUAGUGCAAUGGCAUAAGCGUGCUUAACUGCGAGACUGACAAGUCGAGCAGAUGCGAAAGCAGGACAUAGUGAUCCGGUGGUUCUGUAUGGAAGGGCCAUCGCUCAACGGAUAAAAGGUACUCUGGGGAUAACAGGCUGAUACCGCCCAAGAGUUCAUAUCGACGGCGGUGUUUGGCACCUCGAUGUCGGCUCAUCUCAUCCUGGGGCUGUAGCCGGUCCCAAGGGUAUGGCUGUUCGCCAUUUAAAGAGGUACGUGAGCUGGGUUUAAAACGUCGUGAGACAGUUUGGUCCCUAUCUUCCGUGGGCGCUGCAGAUUUGAGGAAGCCUGCUCCUAGUACGAGAGGACCGGAGUGGACACACCUCUGGUGUAUCGGUUGUCACGCCAGUGGCAUUGCCGAGUAGCUAUGUGUGGAAGAGAUAACCGCUGAAAGCAUCUAAGCGGGAAACUCGUUUCAAGAUGAGAUCUGCCGGGGCCUUGAGCCCCCUAAAGAGUCGUUCAAGACCAGGACGUUGAUAGGUCGGGUGUGGAAGCGCAGUAAUGCGUUAAGCUAACCGAUACUAAUUGCUCGUGCGGCUUGACCCU
Molecule: ribosomal RNA, 1296 nt
Filed under: metagenome
Description: bacterial LSU rRNA
Rfam family: Bacterial large subunit ribosomal RNA
Source: RNAcentral